UCGCCUGUUUAUCAAAAACAUGGUCUUUUGUUUAUAUAAAAGAUCUGGCCUGCCCAAUGUUGAUUUAAUGGCUGCAGUAUUUUGACUGUACAAAGGUAGCAUAAUCACUUGUCCUUUAAUUAGGGUCUGGAAUGAAUGGUUGGAUGAAAAAUUUUCUUUCUUUAUUUUAUAAGAUGAAAUUAAUUUUUAUAUUAAAAAGUAUAGAUAGAUAUAUAGGACGAGAAGACCCUAUAGAACUUUAUUCCCCUUAGUUAAUUAUUUACUUGUAAAUAAUUAUUAUUUAGCCUAAGGGGAAUUUUGUUGGGGUGACAAAAAAAAUUUUAUAACUUUUUUUAAUUUUUUCAUUUAUGUAUGGAUAUUUGACCCUUUAAUAUGGGAAAUAAGAUUAAGUUACCUUAGGGAUAACAGCGUUAUUACUUUAGAGAGUUCAUAUCGAUAAAGUAGUUUGCGACCUCGAUGUUGGAUUAAAAUAAGUUUCAGGGGCAGAAAAUUGAUUGACUAGGUCUGUUCGACCUUUAAAUUUUUACAUGAUCUGAGUUCAAACCGGAGA
RNAcentral lists this ribosomal RNA (550 nucleotides) under Pseudophylus sp. KM-2011. RNAcentral describes it as "partial 16S ribosomal RNA". It matches the Rfam family "Bacterial large subunit ribosomal RNA", at positions 1796 to 2622 of the family's 2925-position model. Lineage: Eukaryota; Metazoa; Arthropoda; Insecta; Hemiptera; Miridae. The record is from RNAcentral.